Molecule: ribosomal RNA, 252 nt
Filed under: uncultured bacterium
Lineage: Bacteria
Description: partial 16S ribosomal RNA
Rfam family: Bacterial small subunit ribosomal RNA
Source: RNAcentral
UACGUAGGUCUCGAGCGUUGUCCGGAUUUAUUGGGCGUAAAGCGAGCGCAGGUGGUUUAUUAAGUCUGGUGUAAAAGGCAGUGGCUCAACCAUUGUAUGCAUUGGAAACUGGUAGACUUGAGUGCAGGAGAGAAGAGUGGAAUUCCAUGUGUAGCGGUGAAAUGCGUAGAUAUAUGGAGGAACACCGGUGGCGAAAGCGGCUCUCUGGCCUGUAACUGACACUGAGGCUCGAAAGCGUGGGGAGCAAACAGG